Molecule: long non-coding RNA, 956 nt
Filed under: Homo sapiens (human)
Lineage: Eukaryota; Metazoa; Chordata; Mammalia; Primates; Hominidae
Description: HSALNT0404944
Source: RNAcentral
UCCCUCCGCCCGCUCCGAGGGUCCGCGGAAAGUAGUCCCGCGCGCCCUCUGCCCUGACGCGGUGUGUGCCAGCUACCCGAGUGAAAGGUUUUCGGGGGAUUAAUCCUGAUGGGGUCUGCGGCGGCCCUUGCCCAGCGCCUUCCACAUGUGGAGCGGGCCAGUGGUGCUAGUUCUGCCGCCAACUCUGGACGGUUGAGUUCAGGGCCACUUUUUACUCAGGCACGGAUGUGACAGAAAGAUGGAAAAGGGUCUUGGAAGAACCACAUGUGCCGUAUAACGAACGACCUUUUGGUCUGAGGAGGACCGUGUAUAUGACGGUGGUCCCAUAACAUGAUAACGGAGCUGGAAACUUCCUGUCCUCUGGUGAGGGCUUAGCUAAGGACAUUUCCUCUCCUGUAUUUGGAGAUACACGUACAGGUGGAUCUGAAGCAGUGCUGCCUUAGUCUCCUUGGACUCUCAGCUCCAUUUCCUCAGCUCAAGUAGUCCACUGGGCUCUACCUCAGUUCUGCCUCCUCUUGCUGUGGCCUAGAAAUUCUCUCUGGAUAUCAGAAAACAAAGGACAGUAAUCCCUGCCAAGAUGGGAUACAAACAAGCUGCAGCCCUUGGUGCACAGUAUGAUCUGGACCUGGGGCACAGCAAGACCAGAACCAUGAACCACCAUGAACCAUGACUCCUCACUUGUGAGAUGACGUGUGCAAGACCCUGUGGACACAGAGUGACAGCUGAGUGCAAGUGUCAGUGAAGAGACCUAGAUUGUGGGGACUUUCCUGGCCUGGCAGAGAACCUUGUGUCUGCUCACGGGAGAAGGAAAGAACAAUUCCUCUGCAGAACUCCCAUUAUGGAUUCAUGGGUAUACUUGGAUGGUGUCUGACCGAGCUCCACGAAGGCAGGGAAGUACCUUCCGUCUUUUGUCUUCACAACCAAGCCCAGAGCCCCUGCAGGCAGCCUCCCUCAGC